This 467-nucleotide ribosomal RNA is filed under the name uncultured bacterium. Its description in RNAcentral is "partial 16S ribosomal RNA". It matches the Rfam family "Bacterial small subunit ribosomal RNA", at positions 28 to 507 of the family's 1533-position model. The record is from RNAcentral.
GACGAACGCUGGCGGCGUGCUUAACACAUGCAAGUCGAACGGAAAGGCCCUGCUUUUGUGGGGUGCUCGAGUGGCGAACGGGUGAGUAACACGUGAGUAACCUGCCCUUGACUUUGGGAUAACUUCAGGAAACUGGGGCUAAUAACGGAUAGGAGCUCCUGCUGCAUGGUGGGGGUUGGAAAGUUUCGGCGGUUGGGGAUGGACUCGCGGCUUAUCAGCUUGUUGGUGGGGUAGUGGCUUACCAAGGCUUUGACGGUAGCCGGCCUGAGAGGGGGACCGGCCACAUUGGGACUGAGAGACGGCCCAGACUCCUACGGGAGGCAGCAGUGGGGAAUAUUGCACAAUGGGCGGAAGCCUGAUGCAGCAACGCCGCGUGCGGGAUGACGGCCUUCGGGUUGUAAACCGCUUUCGCCUGUGACGAAGCGUGAGUGACGGUAAUGGGUAAAGAAGCACCGGCUAACUACGUG